Molecule: long non-coding RNA, 512 nt
Organism: Erpetoichthys calabaricus (reedfish)
Lineage: Eukaryota; Metazoa; Chordata; Cladistia; Polypteriformes; Polypteridae
Exons: 2
Source: RefSeq, a predicted model, not a curated record
CAGAGGAUAGGCCUACACAAACUUGUACCGGACCACUGACUAGUCCGCCUGCUCAUCUUUAGGGUGUAGGAGGGAAUGCCAAGUAGAAAACUCACGACGAUUGCUUUGAUUAAACUCAAACUUGCUAACAUUUAGAGUGCAGUCGUCUGAUCAAGAAGUCAGCCGAGAGCACAGAUGGGCUUCAACGGAGGAGCUGUGGUCGUGAGGAGGCCCAGGCGACACACUCGUCAACAAAAAACACGUUCUACACGAGCACCAAACACACACACACCCGCCAGGGCCAACACCCAAGAUGCUUCACAUUGUUUUGAAAAUUCCAAGUGAAGUUCAACCGCUUGGAAUGCAAAGGAAUGAAGACAAUGUCCCAAUAAAUAGAGGAAGACCCACACACCCAAUCGCCUUUUAUUACCCAAGUCGUAUAAUCGAGGUGGCACACAAAGCAGCAGGUGUUCACAUUGGUAUUUUAUUUUAAUUUAAUUUCAUGUCAAGGGGUACAAAACAAAAACCAAAAA